RNAcentral lists this ribosomal RNA (500 nucleotides) under Streptomyces sp. RNAcentral's name for it is "bacterial SSU rRNA". It matches the Rfam family "Bacterial small subunit ribosomal RNA", at positions 195 to 710 of the family's 1533-position model. Lineage: Bacteria; Bacillati; Actinomycetota; Actinomycetes; Kitasatosporales; Streptomycetaceae. The record is from RNAcentral.
GCUGGUUAAAAGCUCCGGCGGUGAAGGAUGAGCCCGCGGCCUAUCAGCUUGUUGGUGGGGUAAUGGCCUACCAAGGCGACGACGGGUAGCCGGCCUGAGAGGGCGACCGGCCACACUGGGACUGAGACACGGCCCAGACUCCUACGGGAGGCAGCAGUGGGGAAUAUUGCACAAUGGGCGAAAGCCUGAUGCAGCGACGCCGCGUGAGGGAUGACGGCCUUCGGGUUGUAAACCUCUUUCAGCAGGGAAGAAGCGAAAGUGACGGUACCUGCAGAAGAAGCGCCGGCUAACUACGUGCCAGCAGCCGCGGUAAUACGUAGGGCGCAAGCGUUGUCCGGAAUUAUUGGGCGUAAAGAGCUCGUAGGCGGCUUGUCACGUCGGGUGUGAAAGCCCGGGGCUUAACCCCGGGUCUGCAUCCGAUACGGGCAGGCUAGAGUGUGGUAGGGGAGAUCGGAAUUCCUGGUGUAGCGGUGAAAUGCGCAGAUAUCAGGAGGAACACC